This 252-nucleotide ribosomal RNA is filed under the name uncultured Bacteroidales bacterium. RNAcentral's name for it is "partial 16S ribosomal RNA". It matches the Rfam family "Bacterial small subunit ribosomal RNA", at positions 524 to 776 of the family's 1533-position model. Lineage: Bacteria; Pseudomonadati; Bacteroidota; Bacteroidia; Bacteroidales. The record is from RNAcentral.
UACGGAGGAUGCGAGCGUUAUCCGGAUUUAUUGGGUUUAAAGGGUGCGCAGGCGGCGUGUCAAGCAAGCGGUAAAAUAGCGGGGCUCAACCCCGCCGAGCCGUCGGAACUGGGGGCCUUGAGUGCGGCGGAGGCAUGCGGAAUGCGCGGUGUAGCGGUGAAAUGCAUAGAUAUCGCGCAGAACCCCGAUUGCGAAGGCAGCGUGCCGUGCCGCCACUGACGCUGAGGCACGAAAGCGCGGGGAUCGAACAGG